RNAcentral lists this ribosomal RNA (506 nucleotides) under uncultured bacterium. RNAcentral describes it as "partial 16S ribosomal RNA". It matches the Rfam family "Bacterial small subunit ribosomal RNA", at positions 29 to 523 of the family's 1533-position model. The record is from RNAcentral.
AGUGAACGCUGGCGGUAGGCCUAACACAUGCAAGUCGAACGGCAGCACAGGAGAGCUUGCUCUCUGGGUGGCGAGUGGCGGACGGGUGAGGAAUACAUCGGAAUCUACUUUUUCGUGGGGGAUAACGUAGGGAAACUUACGCUAAUACCGCAUACGACCUACGGGUGAAAGCAGGGGACCUUCGGGCCUUGCGCGAUUGAAUGAGCCGAUGUCGGAUUAGCUAGUUGGCGGGGUAAAGGCCCACCAAGGCGACGAUCCGUAGCUGGUCUGAGAGUAUGGUCAGCCACACUGGAACUGAGACACGGGCCAGAAUCCUACGGGAAGCAGCAGUGGGGAAUAUUGGACAAUGGGCGCAAGCCUGAUCCAGCCAUACCGCGUGGGUGAAGAAGGCCUUCGGGUUGUAAAGCCCUUUUGUUGGGAAAGAAAUCCAGCUGGCUAAUACCCGGUUGGGAUGACGGUACCCAAAGAAUAAGCACCGGCUAACUUCGUGCCAGCCGCCGCAGUAA